Coffea eugenioides is the source of this 1930-nucleotide long non-coding RNA. RefSeq lists it as uncharacterized. NCBI's taxonomy places the organism in Eukaryota, Viridiplantae, Streptophyta, Magnoliopsida, Gentianales, Rubiaceae. The record is from RefSeq and is a predicted model, not a curated record. The transcript has 3 exons.
GGUCAAAAACCUCUUCUUCCUUUCACCAUUUUUCUAUCUAUGCAUGUGAUAAGCAAGUGAUAGAGACAAAUCUGAAAUCCUUUUAGCUAUUGAAUCUGAACAUUUUGAGAUUUUUCUUUCAUUAAAUUUUCUGUUCAUGUUGUUUUCUCCUUUUACUUAUCUGAUCUGAACUUGACCUUUUUUUUUUUGUGAUUGCAGGUGGGAAAAGUUUGUAGAUUUCAUGUUUUUAUUUUGGUUUUCGGUAUUUGAAUCCUUAACAAGAAAAUAUUUGGUGCCUUCUUAGUUUUUGGGGUUUCUUUGACAAACAGCCAAUAGCACUGUUAUUACAGGGAUGGAUGGUAAUUUUUUUGGAAAAGGGUGUAACUUUCUGGCUGGAGUAUUACAGCAAAUGAAAGCUAUAAAUAGACUAAUUUAUGUUAUUUCCAAUUGGGCUAUGAUGAUAUAAUUUUGGUUUCUUUAGAUGUAUUUCAGGUUUUAAAUUGAUUGCCAUAUCUUGGUGAGGCAACCCUGAUGUCAUUUGGCUUUCAUUCUCCCCUUGAAAUGCAAUUGGGUCUGCAGCCAUGGCGGUACUCUCAUCUCUGCCUGACUUUUGCCAAUAGACCUGAGCCUUACUUUAAAUUAUCAUAAUAACUGCUUAAUUUAAUUAAAGAUUUGAUCACUGAUUCCUUUUUUUUCCAUUUGUAUAAUAAUCUUCGGAUCAUGUCAAUUUCUAAUGUUUUUAUUGGUUGUUUUCACCUUUGAAAAAAUCUCUAGAGAGCUAUGCCAGAAAUUCUCAGGUGUGCUACCUUGGUUUGCAAUUAUAGCUCGUUCAUUAUAUGAUGUUUUACUUAUGACAAAAUUUUAGCUUUUUCCUUUUGCUUUAUACUAUUUUCAUCAUGCUAGAGAAAUUGUUUGAUGCUUUGGUACAAUUUAUAUAGUGACCCAAAUGGGCUUUUGUCAAUGUGCUUUAAAUUUUUUAGAAAUUUUAUGCUCAAGUGCAGAAACUAUAUGAAGUUAGAAUGAAAUAUCUAACUAAAUAUCUUAAGUAUUUGAGAGGUCUUGCAAGCCUGUACGUCUUAAUAGAGAAGUAAAUAUGAUAUUUGAUGGUUGCUUUUUAUAAAAAAUAGUGAAUACUUUUUUACUUAAGUAUACAAAGACUGGUUAGUUUGGAAAAUCUAUUCGGGGCCUUUCUUUUUUCCUACUUCACAACCCAAAAACAUGAAAGAAAAACACCCUGUGUUGCUCACAUAGUGUUAUUUGGGUAGAAAUUCUUUCUCCUCAUUUUUUUUCUCUUUACGGCAAUAGGAAGAUAACAUGUUCAUAAUGAUGGCUUUUGGUAAUGUUAAAUUGCAUGUUUUAUAGUUGUUUAGUCAUGACAAGGGAUUAACUGAGACCUUUUUAGGUAUCUGCAUUUGGUUUCUUCCUUUUUUUGGUCAGUUGGGUUCUGAAGAAUUAGAUAAAUGAAGCAUUUUGCUUUUUAUUUUUUGUAAACUUUAUUUAUUGGAGAAAUAGGGAUGGGCAUUGCUGGAGUUAUGCUACUUUCAAAGGACUGCAUUCGAUGGUCUAUUGUGAGGAUAGAGCCUUGUAAAUCUUGAGCAAUAAUAUCCGGCACUGCUAUUAACGAGAUUUGAGCAUCUACCAGUAAUGGAAGAAGCAAAAUUGACCUGCAAGCACAUAAAAUACAAGGAAUACGUACAACCGCGGAUGUAGAUGAAAUAUUAGAAUGAACUGGUUUAGACUGAUUGGAUCAAAAGCACACCCUCUCUAAUCACCCUCCAAAGGUUUAUGAAUGGCUUUAAAUUGUGAACCGCUGACUAGGAAAUGAAUCGCAUUGCUACACAGUUAUAGUUCUCUUUUUUUCUUUUUAGUUAGUAGUUCAAAAUCUCUUAUAUUUCUGCAUCCAUACAGGAAAUAGUUUUUGUUUCAUUCAUUUAAACCUAUUUUUACUCGA